AAAGAAAAAGGAAAGGAAAAAAAUGUUCCAGCUUGAUAUGAUUAUUUAUUUAUUUAUUAUUUGUUAAUAAUUAUUUCCUCACUAGUUUGUCCGCAUACUUUCAGUAUUUUUUAAAAAUCAUGGUGAGUAGUAUUUGUUCUUGUGUAUGAUGA
RNAcentral lists this non-coding RNA (152 nucleotides) under Heterosigma akashiwo. Lineage: Eukaryota; Raphidophyceae; Chattonellales; Chattonellaceae. The record is from RNAcentral.